Molecule: ribosomal RNA, 301 nt
Filed under: uncultured bacterium
Lineage: Bacteria
Description: partial 16S ribosomal RNA
Rfam family: Bacterial small subunit ribosomal RNA
Source: RNAcentral
CAGUAGCCGCGGUAAUACGUAGGUGGCAAGCGUUGUCCGGAAUUAUUGGGCGUAAAGGGCUCGCAGGCGGUUUCUUAAGUCUGAUGAGAAAGCCCCCGGCUCAACCGGGGAGGGUCAUUGGAAACUGGGAAACUUGAGUGCAGAAGAGGAGAGUGGAAUUCCACGUGUAGCGGUGAAAUGCGUAGAGAUGUGGAGGAACACCAGUGGCGAAGGCGACUCUCUGGUCUGUAACUGACGCUGAGGAGCGAAAGCGUGGGGAGCGAACAGGAUUAGAUACCAGCGUAGUCCCUGUCUCUUAUAC